RNAcentral lists this ribosomal RNA (460 nucleotides) under uncultured bacterium. Its description in RNAcentral is "partial 16S ribosomal RNA". It matches the Rfam family "Bacterial small subunit ribosomal RNA", at positions 338 to 795 of the family's 1533-position model. The record is from RNAcentral.
CCUACGGGUGGCAGCAGUGAGGAAUAUUGGUCAAUGGGCUUACGCCUGAACCAGCCAAGUCGCGUGAGGGAAGACUGCCCUAUGGGUUGUAAACCUCUUUUGUCAGGGAGCAAAUGGCGCUACGUGUAGCGUUAUCGAGAGUACCUGCAGAAAAAGCAUCGGCUAACUCCGUGCCAGCAGCCGCGGUAUUACGGAGGAUGAGAGCGUUCUCCGGAUUUUUUGGGUUUAAAGGGUGCGUGGGGGGAAGGCCAAGUCAGCGGUAAAAUCGCGGGGCUCAACCUCGCUCCGCCGUUGAUACUGGCGUUCUAGAGUGGACGAGAAGUAUGCGGAAUGCGUGGUGUAGCGGUGAAAUGCAUAGAUAUCACGCAGAACUCCGAUUGCGAAGGCAGCAUACCGGCGCCCAACUGACGCUGAGGCACGAAAGCGUGGGUAUCGAACAGGAUUAGAUACCCCAGUAGUC